UUGUGUUGUGGCAUCUGACAUGGAACAGAGGAAUAAGCUCCUCUUAGUGAAAUCAAUGAAAUGUUUUUUUUUUUUUUAAUUUUUUUAUCACAAGUCAUACUAGUUGUUGAUUGGUCAUUAGAUUUUAUGUCAGCAACUAAACUAGGCCCCUCUGCUUCUAAUUAAAAUUUCAGUCUGUGUAACUGUAAGCUUGCAGACAUGGACAUCCUUCUUUAUCCCUUGUUGAGCACUUGGCCCAGACGUUUAACAAUCUUAUGCAGCCUGCGCUGGGUUAGUUGGUCCAGUCAGGGCUUGGGGAGGUUAUUAAUAACUCUUCCCUGAUCUUUCAUUACUCCUUUUCACGUCAGGAAGUCAAGAUUUGCUGGUCAAGGCCAGUACACUGAUAGGCAGGAGGAGGAAUUUGGUGGUCAGGAACACUGGAGACCAAAAUGAAAAACCGCUAGCUUUAUUGCUCAGUCUUUUCAUUUGGACAUGCAGUAUAGUUUCACGAUGACAAGAACACAUGUUAGAGUUUUGCAGUGUUCUUAUGCUGCUUUGGAUUGCACUUAAAUUUUAUUUGUAUGGUAUGUGUUCUUUGUUUUCAUUGCAUUCCUUUAAACUAAGGAACGAGUCCCAAACUGCUCAAAUAUAUUUUGAAGUAAUGAAUCUAUACUAGUUUGUCACUUGAUUCAGAUCUAUCUCAUCAAGUCAGUGUACAUGGGAAAAUAGCUCAACUUUAGCCUCACCUGGAACAGCCUUUAAUGCUUUACGUCAUUCAGUAGCACCUUCCUGUUUCCUGUUUGGGGCAUCUGGCAUGUCCAUUUACUGGUCCCCCAAAAAAAAUACAUCCCAGGGGCUGUGUGACCUACUAGAUGACCGCACCAGAUAAAACAUGACUGAGGCCUCUCCUCAAGACCCUCCUCACCCUGUUUUUGUGGUCUUAAUUUGGCAGGAGUUGAAAAAACCUUGCUGACAGAUGAGAUGCACCACUUAACACACAAAGCCUGGACAUUAGGGCUGUGACGAUGACUUGUUUUCACCGGCCACGUUUGUCUGUCUGAGAGUUGGAAGCAUUAGCACUUAAGACAACUGCUGUUUUUUAAUAAAUUUUCACUGCGUUCUG
Molecule: long non-coding RNA, 1102 nt
Organism: Betta splendens (Siamese fighting fish)
Lineage: Eukaryota; Metazoa; Chordata; Actinopteri; Anabantiformes; Osphronemidae
Exons: 2
Source: RefSeq, a predicted model, not a curated record